CAUGCUUUGUAGGACUAGUACAAUGACCAUUUUAUUGUACCAUUAAAACAUGCAUCACUUACCUCACUUGACAAAGGGUGUAAAUGGACAUAUCCUUUGAGCCACUGCAUCAAAGCGACAUUGUCAGAGCAUAGUGUCUAUCUUCAAGUAAAUUAUAAUGUAACUGGCUUACUUAGGCAUACCUGAAGUUGCUUUGAUAUUUCCUUACAGUACUCCAAAUAUUCCUUGUCACUCGCAUAAUCACUAAGAGUUUGGUGGUAAUUAUUCCAAUCCAGAUACUCAAAAGGCUGCAUGAAAAUAUAAGGGCAAAAAUAAGGCAACUGUUUAAUUUUGUAAAUGAGUUAUAGAAUUCCAUUCAAGAGUGUGGGCAUGAAGUUAAUAAUAAACAUAUCAAAUGACUGGUUGGUAGACACAUCAGGACUGGCGCAACAAUUUAGCAAGAAAAGACAGUCAGAUGGAAAAAAUAUCAAGAUGCUAUCAUGGUGAAUUGAGAAAUCCAAAUGCAAAAGAAACAUAAAAAAAGGUAAGAGCACAGUAUCUAUAAUUGGCUUUGGCUGUCAUCAUAAAGGUAGCUAACCAUAACAAACAUCACUCAAUGGCUUUGUGGAAAUAUGAACUUCAAAAGGAAAAGGAAAAUAAAAAUGACAUCCAACAGUUCGACCAAGACUCAGCCAAACUUUUUUAUCUUUCAUCCAACAGUUUAAGAUAAAUUCAGUCUGGAAAUAAAAAAAAAACUUUCUGAUUUAUUUUGAAAAGUAUUUCCAUAAUCUCAU
This 773-nucleotide long non-coding RNA is filed under the name Sorghum bicolor (sorghum). RNAcentral's name for it is "long non-coding RNA (SBIC_LNC001346)". The record is from RNAcentral. Lineage: Eukaryota; Viridiplantae; Streptophyta; Magnoliopsida; Poales; Poaceae.